GUUUGUGAAUGGGAAGUUUUGCAAGGAUCCAAAGGAAGUCAAUGCCGAUGAUUUCUUUACUUCAGGGCUCAACAUUGCAGGAAACACUGAUAAUCCAGUUGGUUCCAAAGUAAUAGCUGUUGAUACAAGUGUGACUUGUAAAAGAAUAUACAAGUUAAUAUUUUGAUUGGUUUUAAAGCAUUGGAUUGGUAGCUAAUUGCAAGAGGCGCAAUAUGGACAAAGAAUGGAUGUCAGCUGAUAGGAUGUCAGUAGAAUAUAUAAAAGGGGUCGAUGAGUUUCUUAAAUUUAGUUUGGAUCAUGCCAAAGAUCCAAACUAUAUUUGUUGUCCUUGUAGUAA
Molecule: long non-coding RNA, 337 nt
Organism: Humulus lupulus (European hop)
Lineage: Eukaryota; Viridiplantae; Streptophyta; Magnoliopsida; Rosales; Cannabaceae
Exons: 3
Source: RefSeq, a predicted model, not a curated record